RNAcentral lists this ribosomal RNA (253 nucleotides) under uncultured bacterium. Its description in RNAcentral is "partial 16S ribosomal RNA". It matches the Rfam family "Bacterial small subunit ribosomal RNA", at positions 524 to 776 of the family's 1533-position model. The record is from RNAcentral.
UACGUAGGUGGCAAGCGUUGUCCGGAUUUACUGGGCGUAAAGAGCGCGCAGGCGGUCGUUCAAGUCGCGUGUGAAAGCCCCCGGCUCAACUGGGGAGGGUCACGCGAUACUGAUCGACUGGAAGGCAGGAGAGGGUAGUGGAAUUCCCGGUGUAGUGGUGAAAUGCGUAGAUAUCGGGAGGAACACCAGUGGCGAAGGCGACUACCUGGCCUGUUCUUGACGCUGAGGCGCGAAAGCUAGGGGAGCGAACGGG